AUGGCCAAGAUCCGAGAGAGGAAGACGAGGGAUAUUAGGCAAGUCAAAUGCAUCAAGGACGGAGAAGACCAACUCCUGGUGAAGGACGAGGAGAUUAAGCAUAGAUGGCGGGAGUACUUCGACAAGCUGUUCAAUGGGGAGAAUGAGAGUUCUACCAUUGAACUGGACGACUCCUUUGAUGAGGCCAACAUGCGUUUUGUGCGGCGAAUCCAGGAGUCUGAGGUCAAGGAGGCUUUAAAAAGGAUGAAAGGACGCAAGGCGAUGGGCCCUGAUUGUAUCCCCAUUGAGGUGUGGAAAGGCCUCGGGGACAUAGCGAUAGUAUGGCUAACCAAGAUUUUCAACCUCAUUUUUCGGGCAAACAAGAUGCCAAAAGAAUGGAGACGGAGCAUAUUAGUACCAAUCUUCAAGAACAAGGGGGAUGUGCAGAGUUGUACUGAUUACCGUGGAAUUAAGCUGAUGAGCCAUACAAUGAAGCUAUGGGAGAGAGUCAUUGAGCACCGCUUAAGAAGAAUGACAAGCGUGACCAAAAAUCAGUUUGGUUUCAUGCCUGGGAGGUCGACCAUGGAAGCCAUUUUCUUAGUACGACAACUUAUGGAAAGAUAUAGGGAGCAAAAGAAGGACUUGCAUAUGGUGUUCAUUGACUUGGAGAAGGCCUAUGAUAAGAUACCGCGGAAUAUCAUGUGGUGGACCUUGGAGAAACACAAAGUCCCAGCAAAGUACAUUACCCUCAUCAAGGACAUGUACGAUAAUGUUGUGACAAGUGUUCGAACAAGUGAUGUUGAUCAGGGGUCAGGUUUGAGCCCUUAUCUUUUUGCCUUGGUGAUGGAUGAGGUCACAAGGGAUAUACAAGGAGAUAUCCCAUGGUGUAUGCUCUUUGCGGAUGAUGUGGUGCUAGUUGACGACAGUUGGACGGGGGUAAAUAGGAAGUUCGAGUUAUGGAGACAAACCUUGGAAUCGAAAGGGUUUAGGCUUAGUAGAACUAAAACAGAGUACAUGAUGUGUUCAGUACUACUAGGUGUGAGGAGGAGGUUAGCCUUGAUGGGCAGGUGGUGCCUCAGAAGGACACCUUACGAUAUUUGGGGUCAAUGCUGCAGGAGAAUGGGGAUAUUGAUGAAGAUGUGA
This 1122-nucleotide ribosomal RNA is filed under the name Triticum aestivum (bread wheat). RNAcentral's name for it is "partial small subunit ribosomal RNA". Lineage: Eukaryota; Viridiplantae; Streptophyta; Magnoliopsida; Poales; Poaceae. The record is from RNAcentral.